Molecule: ribosomal RNA, 276 nt
Filed under: uncultured bacterium
Lineage: Bacteria
Description: partial 16S ribosomal RNA
Rfam family: Bacterial small subunit ribosomal RNA
Source: RNAcentral
AACGAACGCUGGCGGCAGGCUUAACACAUGCAAGUCGAGCGCCCCGCAAGGGGAGCGGCAGACGGGUGAGUAACGCGUGGGAAUCUACCUUUUGCUACGGAAUAACUCAGGGAAACUUGUGCUAAUACCGUAUGUGCCCUUCGGGGGAAAGAUUUAUCGGCAAGGGAUGAGCCCGCGUUGGAUUAGGUAGUUGGUGAGGUAAAGGCUCACCAAGCCGACGAUCUUUAGCUGGUCUGAGAGGAUGAUCAGCCACACUGGGACUGAGACACGGCCCAG